RNAcentral lists this ribosomal RNA (274 nucleotides) under uncultured bacterium. RNAcentral describes it as "partial 16S ribosomal RNA". It matches the Rfam family "Bacterial small subunit ribosomal RNA", at positions 523 to 796 of the family's 1533-position model. The record is from RNAcentral.
AUACAGAGAGUGCAAGCGUUAAUCGGAAUUACUGGGCGUAAAGCGCGCGUAGGUGGAUACUUCAGUCGGAUGUGAAAGCCCUGGGCUUAACCUAGGAACUGCACCCGAAACUGAGUAUCUCGAGUAUGGUAGAGGGAAGUGGAAUUUCCGGUGUAGCGGUGAAAUGCGUAGAUAUCGGAAGGAACACCAGUGGCGAAGGCGACUUCCUGGACCAAUACUGACACUGAGGCGCGAAAGCGUGGGGAGCAAACAGGAUUAGAAACCCCAGUAGUCC